Molecule: ribosomal RNA, 468 nt
Filed under: uncultured bacterium
Lineage: Bacteria
Description: partial 16S ribosomal RNA
Rfam family: Bacterial small subunit ribosomal RNA
Source: RNAcentral
GACGAACGCUGGCGGCGUGCUUAACACAUGCAAGUCGAACGGAAAGGCCCUGCUUUUGUGGGGUGCUCGAGUGGCGAACGGGUGAGUAACACGUGAGUAACCUGCCCUUGACUUUGGGAUAACUUCAGGAAACUGGGGCUAAUACCGGAUAGGAGCUCCUGCUGCAUGGUGGGGGUUGGAAAGUUUCGGCGGUUGGGGAUGGACUCGCGGCUUAUCAGCUUGUUGGUGGGGUAGUGGCUUACCAAGGCUUUGACGGGUAGCCGGCCUGGGAGGGUGACCGGCCACAUUGGGACUGAGAGACGGCCCAGACUCCUACGGGAGGCAGCAGUGGGGAAUAUUGCACAAUGGGCGGACGCCUGAUGCAGCAACGCCGCGUGCGGGAUGACGGCCUUCGGGUUGUAAACCGCUUUCGCCUGUGACGAAGCGUGAGUGACGGUAAUGGGUAAAGAAGCACCGGCUAACUACGUG